UAAUGAAAGAUUAACAAUUUUCUUCCCCACGUCUCCUCCUCCUCUCUUUCUCCUUCUCUUCUCCUUCUUUUCUUCCUCUUCCUCCUUCUCUUCUCCCUCUUCUUCUGUUCCUGAUUUAAAAUUGCAACGUGAGUACAUCGUAUCCACUGAAGUCUGCCUUCCCAGACUUGGUUCUACACCAACUUGGUAUCAGAGCUUCGGCUUUGCCUCUGUCGCCAAAGCCCGGAGAUCCUAGAACGGAUCACCUCCGCCACCUCC
RNAcentral lists this long non-coding RNA (258 nucleotides) under Phoenix dactylifera (date palm). RNAcentral describes it as "long non-coding RNA (PDAC_LNC012778)". Lineage: Eukaryota; Viridiplantae; Streptophyta; Magnoliopsida; Arecales; Arecaceae. The record is from RNAcentral.